This 2201-nucleotide long non-coding RNA is filed under the name Medicago truncatula (barrel medic). RNAcentral describes it as "long non-coding RNA (MTRU_LNC008464)". The record is from RNAcentral. Lineage: Eukaryota; Viridiplantae; Streptophyta; Magnoliopsida; Fabales; Fabaceae.
AAAAGUCGUGUUUUUUUUUUAAAUCAUUUCAAACGAAAUUUAGGACAGAGAGGAUACUUUGAAGUACCUCAUGUCAGGUUCCGAAGGCAACUUUUUUAAACAUUUUAAUUUCUUUCAUCACUUUUUAUUUCAUUAGUGUUUAUCUCUUUUUAUUUUAAUUGCUUCUAUUUUUAUGAUUUUUUUCUUGUCUUUCCUUUAAGUGACUUACGAUUUUUCUUUAUUUUUAAAUCAUUUAUUUGUCUUGUUUUUAUUGCUUUAGUCUUUUUGUCCAAAUUGUCAUAUGGUCUUUGCAGUCCCAUUUGGGGGGCAUUUUCGUCCAAGUCAUGUUCAGCUCAAACCCUAAUUGUACCACUAUAAAUAGACUCCCAAUCAUUGGAGAGAGGGGGCUGCACUGAUUUUCACACAAACACAAUUUUUUUUCGGCAGCCCAAGAAUUAGGAUCAAACACUUUCUUUUUAAAAAUUCUCAAGAACAUUCACAACAACAAACAAUUUUCCAGCAACUAUUUUUUGAUUCAAUCAUCAAUAAACAACUCUUUUUUUUUUUUCUUUGAAUCAACCACCGUUCACAAAACCAACAUACAUACAAUCUCAUAAGCACACACAAAUAACCAUUUUUCUCACUAUCACUUCCUUGAGUGAACCGGAUCCAUCAACUAACAAGAACUCGAAUCGGUGCAAGCUUCAACAACACAAAACCGAAUCAGUAAGAAGCUUGAAGCAAAGUGUGAAGAUCCGAAAUUCCAACAGUAGUAGAAUCGAAGUCAAAGCUGAAGCAAGGUGUGAAGAACACAGCGAAGGUGAAUCCGAACACGAGCAAAAGGCAUUUCGAUCGAAGCUACAAGAGAAAGAACAGAUCCAUUCGUGUUCAUCCAUUUUGGUAACUUUCUUUUUCGAACUUCACUUUUAGAUCUAGGUUUUUGUGUUUGGAUUUUGUAAUUUUUGAGUUGAUAUUUGAAAUAAGGAAGAAAAAGGAUAUUCGAAUAUGUGAAAAAAUUUGAAACGGUUGAGUUUUGAACUCCGGCGCGGUGGUGCCACCACCGGCCACCGCGCCAGAAAAUUUAUCUCGCCGGAGAAGAAGAAGUAAGGGGCGCUGUCAUUUUAGUGUGAGAGGGAGAACUCAAAUUUUUUUUUAGAGAGAUGUUUUUAUGGUUUGAAAUGAGUUAAAAACCUGUAUCCUUGCUUUUAUACUACCUUUCAAUUCUGUGCGCUGCUUUCUUGCUACUACUGUGUGCUUUACUUUUUAACCGUUGGAUCUUAGAUCCUAUGGCUGUGAUGAGAUCUUGGGAUUUAGAUCUGGACCUCUGGAUUCAUCCAACGGUCCAGAUUGUAUCCUGCUGAGCCAAUCUCUUUCUUUUAAUUGUUCUUUAUCAUUUUAAAUACUUUUUACACUUUUUUGACAUUUUAAUGCUUUUAAAAAAUUCCAAAAAUAUUGUUCUUAUCAUCUUAAUUUUCUCCAAUUUUCAAAAAUUCAUCAUACUCGUUUCUUUUAUUUUUUUGCUCAUUUCUUCACUUGCUUUCAAUUGUUGCUUUAUUGUGUCUUUAUAUGAUGAUUUUAAUUGUUACUUGUUAUUUUCAUAUGUCUAUUCUUAAUUUCUUGCUUGUUAUUUCUUAUGUCUCAUUCAUCACAAUAUUCCUUAUGAUUACUAACGAUUUAAUCUUUGUUUUGAAUCAUAGCAUGCACAUUUAAUUUUCUCAUCAUUUUAUUUUGUCAUUGACUUAGUGUGUAUAAAUAGGAAAUUGAUGUAAGUUUUAUUUCUUGCAUUUUAUUUUGGCAUAAAGGCCUUAGGGUUGUAUUUAGGAAUUGAUGUAAUAAUGUAGGUAACACAAGCACCGACACAUGCACCGACACUUCACAUUUAUUUCUUAUACGUCGUUACGUUAGCUUACCGUUAGUUUAGAAAAAACCUUUUCAUCAAAAAAAACCUAAAUAUGUCAAAUUCAAAAAAUCAUCUUGUUAACAACAUUUUUUCUUUAUUUUUUUAAUCAAAUUCUCAAUCAAUCUUAAUUUAACUUCAAUCAUUUUUAAACUUUAAAAUCAAUCAACCUCACUUGUUUUCUUUAUCUCAUGCCUUGAGGCCUCUUUCUUUUCUUAAAACCCAUUUUCAAAAAUCUUAAAAUCAACCUAACCCACCAAAGAAAUUUUUGAGUGGAACUACGUCAGUUUUGAUCCCUUUCCCAAAAAGGGUACGUAGGUAGAGG